Molecule: long non-coding RNA, 2235 nt
Organism: Alligator sinensis (Chinese alligator)
Lineage: Eukaryota; Metazoa; Chordata; Crocodylia; Alligatoridae
Exons: 9
Source: RefSeq, a predicted model, not a curated record
AGUCAUGCUUCUUUCUCUUAAUAUCAGUUCAAUAAGAUAUCGAUGGCUUGCCUUCCACUUUGUCAGGGCUGGUUUAGAUUCAUCAUUAGCUCAGGUCUCCUAAGAUGUAUUUCCAUUAAACCCCCCUGGCAUUCUGAAGAAGCGCUUGCCCCCUCCACAUAGUGUUUGGUGGUUGACUCUUGCCAAGAACAUGAAGAAGUUAUGCAACAGCGGAGCAAGGAUGUUGUUCAGAUGCAACCUGCCAGGAGUGGAAACCAGUCUCGCAAGUAGACCGGCGUUGCUCACUCAGCCAUCUCUUUUCUUUGAUACCCACCCACUUUGGAGAGGCAGUAGAAGGGUACUUCAGACAGAUCUGUAUAGGCACUUGCACUUUUGCUUAUCUCAAUGAACUUCUGGAGACUACCAACUACCUGUAUAUACUGAACAUUGGAGGUACACAUUGAGGGAUUGUAUUGGGUCUUAUCUGAAAAACAUCUGAAACAGAUGAGGAAGGCAUCAGGGAAAGUGGAGACAUGCAUUGAGUACAAGCUUUCCUCCUCUGGAGAUCUUCAGAGUUGAUGUUGCUACUUGGCUCUGCUACAAGCAAAGAAUGGUCUCCAGCUGCGAGUGAGGUAUGUCCUCUUUUCCUGGGGUGAAAUAGUGGUGAAAGAGGAACCAGGUCUGGCAGGGGAGCUGGAUACAGAAGAAAUUGUCAAGGACAUGAAUCCAGAUCAGGCUGGGGAAGAAGAUCCAUCUUCUGAAGACGUUGUGCUGGUUUCUUUUGAGGACAAGGACUGCGGUCAGAGACACUGCCGGAGAAGACUAUCACUCCAUCAUCUUGGCUGGGCUCCCUCUGACUCCUGCAGUUCAUUUAGGAGUCUGCUCAUGAAAAAAGCAUUGCAUGGAGAUAUUUUUCUUAAACUGUGGCUAGACCAACGCGGGGAAGAUAAUCAAGCAGGCUGUUAUUUGCAGGCAGCUGUUUAAAGAGACUCUUGUGAUCAGCAUCCAGCCCUGCCUACAGGCCACUUACGCAUAUUCCACGUGGACAGGGACUUUCAGGGGAUAUUACAGGACUUUAUAAAGAGAAUGAAAGUACUAGACCAAGAAUGGUUCACUGCUGAUGGUGUAUAGAGAGACAGUAAGUCUGGCAACAUAGGUCAUUUUUAUAGAUGCCCAAGAAGAUGAUGAUCAUGUCCUUUAGCCUGGAAGCACUUGUGUAACUGAAGCAUUAAAAGGGAGUACUUCCAGCACUAGUUUGUACAGACAUUUUGCUUUUAAUGGAUCAGGUGUAUAUCGUGAUUCUGAACCUGUUCUAUUGAAGGUGCAUCAUUAUACAGUAUUUCUUGUGGCAUCUACCAACAUUUUAGAAGGGAAACAUACUGUAACGGCAAAACAAAGCAAAAAGUGAUGGCAAAGGACUUUUCAGUAGGGGAAAUAACUGAAAAAUACAACAUACUACUUCCUGUAGUGCUUCUGUUAAAAUAUGGUGAAGGAAGAAGCGCUGACUUGAGAACUGGGGCUUGGGGGGUCUAGAUUCAGUUCCAUGCUUCGCCGUACAAUCCUCGUGUGACCUUAAUGAAGGCUACAUCUACACUGCAAUCCAAGAGACUGAUCUCAACUCAUGCAGAUGCAUCUGAGCUACCAUUAAGGUAGCUUGCUCAGCUGCAGAGGGCAGUGCUGUUGGACCAGCGUGGAGCUCAGUGGUCUGAAUGUUUAUCCAGUUAUCUCAAAUUGGACCCAAGCUAUCUACCUGAUCCAGCCUUGAGCAGCAACCAGGCUGUCCAGGCAUACCCGGAGUCACUGAAUCUCACCAUGUGCAUUUUGCCAUUUGUACAAUGGUGAUGAUAUCAUUUGAUCUCUCAUCUUUUGCUUUUAUCAUCUACCUGGUUCUUUGGGUCAGGGACUAUCUCUUACAACGUGUGUGUGUGUGAGUGUGUGUGUGUGUUUGUAUGUGAUUAAGACAAUAAGGCACAGAGUUGGGGCCUCUAGAGACCACUAUAAUACUUAUAAUACACUAUUAUCCUCCAAAAAAAUGUUUUUGGAAGCCAUUUCAGUCAAAAAUGUUUAACUAUAAAGUACUUCUUCUGUCAUUUCAACGAGCAGAUGUACUGUAACUGCUCAAAAUAUAAGGUUUGACAAUAAUUAUAAUUAGCCACUUUUGCUUGAAUAGACCUUGUAAUUUGUCUGAUUUAAGUGCUUUUUCCACCCAAAAGGCUCCUCUGUGAAUUAAUGUGCAUAGAAAAUAAAAAUACCUAG